AUCCUACGGGAGGCAGCAGUGGGGAAUAUUGGGCAAUGGGCGCAAGCCUGACCCAGCAACGCCGCGUGAAGGAAGAAGGCUUUCGGGUUGUAAACUUCUUUUAAGAGGGAAGAGCAGAAGACGGUACCUCUUGAAUAAGCCACGGCUAACUACGUGCCAGCAGCCGCGGUAAUACGUAGGUGGCAAGCGUUGUCCGGAUUUACUGGGUGUAAAGGGCGUGUAGCCGGAUUGACAAGUCAGAUGUGAAAUCCUGCGGCUUAACCGCAGAACUGCAUUUGAAACUGUUGAUUUUGAGUACUGGAGAG
This 305-nucleotide ribosomal RNA is filed under the name uncultured bacterium. RNAcentral describes it as "bacterial SSU rRNA". It matches the Rfam family "Bacterial small subunit ribosomal RNA", at positions 335 to 656 of the family's 1533-position model. The record is from RNAcentral.